Molecule: long non-coding RNA, 389 nt
Organism: Anneissia japonica
Lineage: Eukaryota; Metazoa; Echinodermata; Crinoidea; Comatulida; Comatulidae
Exons: 3
Source: RefSeq, a predicted model, not a curated record
CUACGAGUGGUCAGCCCUUCCACCCACAUUUGUUGUUUUCUAGGACACAGUUAGUUUGAUUGGCUGUCAAUUUGAUAAGGGUCUGUGGUAACACACAUAAACCAAUCACGGAGUAGUGGCUUGGAUGCUGCCAAGAAGAUAUGCAGACGACAGACGAGUCGAGGGCGAAAUACAGUAGGCCUAUUAUUGGCCAUUUCCAGGUGGUGCGUGGAUCACGUUGGAUUAACAGGCACCAUAUUAAGUGCUUUCUCUCCACCACUGGCCAAGGCAUUCAUACAGCUGCUUGGCAUUUUCGAAAGCUGUUUCAUAUGAAGAGGAAACUGAUAACCAUACAUUGAAAAUCCAGAUACUAUGUCUAGCGCCCUCUGUGGCCAAAAAUGCAUUCCCAG